This 497-nucleotide ribosomal RNA is filed under the name uncultured bacterium. Its description in RNAcentral is "partial 16S ribosomal RNA". It matches the Rfam family "Bacterial small subunit ribosomal RNA", at positions 28 to 507 of the family's 1533-position model. The record is from RNAcentral.
GAUGAACGCUGGCGGCGUGCCUAAUACAUGCAAGUCGAGCGAACAGACGAGGAUCUUGCUCCUCUGACGUUAGCGGCGGACGUGUGAGUAACACGUGGAUAACCUACCUAUAAGACUGGUAUAACUUCGGGAAACCGGAGCUAAUACCGUAUAAUAUAUUGAACCGCAUGUUUCAAUAGUGAAAGACGGUUUUGCUGUCACUUAUAGAUGGAUCCGCGCCGCAUUAGCUAGUUGGUAAGGUAACGGCUUACCAAGGCAACGAUGCGUAGCCGACCUGAGAGGGUGAUCGGCCACACUGGAACUGAGACACGGUCCAGACUCCUACGGGAGGCAGCAGUAGGGAAUCUUCCGCAAUGGGCGAAAGCAUGACGGAGCAACGCCGCGUGAGUGAUGAAGGUCUUCGGAUCGUAAAACUCUGUUAUUAGGGAAGAACAAAUGUGUAAGUAACUAUGCACGUAUUGACGGUAACUAAUCAGAAAGCAACGGCUAACUACGUG